GACGAACGCUGGCGGCGUGCCUAAUACAUGCAAGUCGAACGCUGAAGAGAGGAGCUUGCUCUUCUUGGAUGAGUUGCGAACGGGUGAGUAACGCGUAGGUAACCUGCCUUGUAGCGGGGGAUAACUAUUGGAAACGAUAGCUAAUACCGCAUAACAAUGGAUGACCCAUGUCAUUUAUUUGAAAGGGGCAAAUGCUCCACUACAAGAUGGACCUGCGUUGUAUUGGCUAGUAGGUGAGGUAACGGCUCACCUAGGCGACGAUACAUAGCCGACCUGAGAGGGUGAUCGGCCACACUGGGACUGAGACACGGCCCAGACUCCUACGGGAGGCAGCAGUAGGGAAUCUUCGGCAAUGGGGGCAACCCUGACCGAGCAACGCCGCGUGAGUGAAGAAGGUUUUCGGAUCGUAAAGCUCUGUUGUAAGUCAAGAACGAGUGUGAGAGUGGAAAGUUCACACUGUGACGGUAGCUUACCAGAAAGAGACGGCUAACUACGUG
RNAcentral lists this ribosomal RNA (497 nucleotides) under uncultured bacterium. Its description in RNAcentral is "partial 16S ribosomal RNA". It matches the Rfam family "Bacterial small subunit ribosomal RNA", at positions 28 to 507 of the family's 1533-position model. The record is from RNAcentral.